GAUCCAGUAUCAAAACCAAUAAAUUUUUACCUUUUAAUAGGCUUAUCUUUGCUGUAAUGUUCAAAUUUUUAUUGUAGCAUUAAUUUUAUUUUGUUUCACAUAAUAUCAGUGUAAAUGCAUUUUCCCUUUUUCCCCUUAUUUCUCAAUUUCAGAAAUAAUUUGAUGCUGCUGUAAUCAACUUACUGCUUAUUUUACAAUUCUUUAUAAUCAUCACUAUCUUAUCUUUCCUUUCCGUUUCCCUUCUCUCUUUGUUAUUUGGGUUUCCUUAUUUAACAAUUUCAUAAGGAAGAUGGAUCAUGAACAUUUAACGUUUUUUGAUGUUGGUGUAAUCUAUUUUCUUCUUUUACUAUCACUUAUGAAAUUUUAAUCCAUGUGUCCAUAAAUUAUCAGCUGUUACUAAUUUUACUGCCAUUUCAUGCAUGCUUUGCUCAUUAGUAGGUAUUUUCUCUUAAGUUUGAUUCCAUGUGCCUUAGAUUGCAAAUUUAUGCUAUUUUAUGACCACAACUUUAUUACACAUAAAUAAGUGUAAUGCAAACCAGCAAUGCAAGAGAUGUGAUGUCAAUUUUAGUGCUAAUAGCAGAAGCUGCAUUAUCUGGUGUACUGGCAUAAUAGAAUAAACUUAUUCUAGAUUUGGUGUUUAACAAGUUAUUUCAAUUUGAUUGGUCUUUUCUCAUUAGUACUUACUUUUUUCUACCAUGCAAGCCAGUUUAUGCUGUAGUUGUUAAGAUGCUUUUUUCAUCAAGUAAAAAUGACUCCAGGACAUGAAAACUAUUGUAAAAUUUGUUUACUGGUGCAACUUAA
Molecule: unclassified non-coding RNA, 801 nt
Filed under: Hevea brasiliensis (rubber tree)
Lineage: Eukaryota; Viridiplantae; Streptophyta; Magnoliopsida; Malpighiales; Euphorbiaceae
Source: RNAcentral